Molecule: transfer RNA, 73 nt
Filed under: Leuconostoc sp.
Lineage: Bacteria; Bacillati; Bacillota; Bacilli; Lactobacillales; Lactobacillaceae
Description: tRNA-Phe
Rfam family: tRNA
About the family: Transfer RNA (tRNA) molecules are approximately 80 nucleotides in length. Their secondary structure includes four short double-helical elements and three loops (D, anti-codon, and T loops).
Source: RNAcentral
GGCUCGGUAGCUCAGUUGGUAGAGCAAUGGACUGAAGCUCCAUGUGUCGGCGGUUCGAUUCCGUCUCGCGCCA